Molecule: ribosomal RNA, 489 nt
Filed under: uncultured bacterium
Lineage: Bacteria
Description: partial 16S ribosomal RNA
Rfam family: Bacterial small subunit ribosomal RNA
Source: RNAcentral
GAUGAACGCUAGCGGCAGGCUUAAUACAUGCAAGUCGUGGGGCAGCAGGACUGUAGCAAUACAGUUGCUGGCGACCGGCAAACGGGUGCGGAACACGUACGCAACUUACCCUGAACUGGGGGAUAGCCCGGGGAAACCCGGAUUAAUACCCCGUAAUAUAAUGGAGUGGCAUCACUUUAUUAUUAAAGCUCCGGCGGUUCGGGAUGGGCGUGCGGCUGAUUAGGUAGUUGGUUGAGGUAACGGCUCACCAAGCCUACGAUCAGUAACUGGUGUGAGAGCACGACCAGUCACACGGGCACUGAGACACGGGCCCGACUCCUACGGGAGGCAGCAGUAAGGAAUAUUGGGCAAUGGAGGCAACUCUGACCCAGCCAUGCCGCGUGGAGGAUGAAGGCCCUCUGGGUUGUAAACUUCUUUUAUUGGGGACGAAACCUGUGUAUUCUUACGCAGUUGACGGUACCCUAGGAAUAAGCACCGGCUAACUCCGUG